This 421-nucleotide ribosomal RNA is filed under the name uncultured bacterium. Its description in RNAcentral is "partial 16S ribosomal RNA". It matches the Rfam family "Bacterial small subunit ribosomal RNA", at positions 360 to 773 of the family's 1533-position model. The record is from RNAcentral.
AAUAUCGGACAAUGGGGGCAACCCUGAUCCAGCCAUGCCGCGUGUGUGAAGAAGGUCUUCGGAGUGUAAAGCACUUUGAGUAGGGAGGAAGGGCUUUAGGUUAAUACACUGUCGUUUUGACGUUACCAAUUGAAUACACAUCGGGCAACUCUGUCCUAGUAGCCGCGGUAAUACAGAUGUUGCAAGCGUUAAUCGGAAUUACUGGGCGUAAAGCGCGCGUAGGUGGUUCAGUAAGAUGGGUGUGAAAUCCCCGGGCUUAACCUGGGAACUGCUUUCAUAACUGCUGAGCUAGAGUACGGUAGAGGGUAGUGGAAUUUCCUGUGUAGCGGUGAAAUGCGUAGAUAUAGGAAGGAACACCAGUGGCGAAGGCGACUACCUGGACUGAUACUGACACUGAGGUGCGAAAGCGUGGGGAGCAAAC